This 424-nucleotide ribosomal RNA is filed under the name uncultured bacterium. RNAcentral's name for it is "bacterial SSU rRNA". It matches the Rfam family "Bacterial small subunit ribosomal RNA", at positions 358 to 773 of the family's 1533-position model. The record is from RNAcentral.
GGAAUCUUGCGCAAUGGCCGAAAGGCUGACGCAGCGACGCCGCGUGCGGGAGGACGCUUUUCGGAGUGUAAACCGCUGUCAGGUGGGACGAAGGUCCGGGGGAGGAAAUGCUCUCGGGAUGACGGUACCGCCAAAGGAAGCACCGGCUAACUCCGUGCCAGCAGCCGCGGUAAUACGGAGGGUGCGAGCGUUGUUCGGAAUUAUUGGGCGUAAAGCGCACGUAGGCGGCUUUGUAAGUCUCACUGUGAAAGCCCGGGGCUCAACCCCGGGACUGCAGGGGAUACUGCGAGGCUGGAGUCAAGUAGAGGUUGGUAGAAUUCCGGGUGUAGCGGUGGAAUGCGUAGAGAUCCGGAGGAAUACCAGAGGCGAAGGCGGCCAACUGGACUUGUACUGACGCUGAGGUGCGAAAGCGUGGGGAGCGAAC